This is a long non-coding RNA of Dreissena polymorpha, 1200 nucleotides long. RefSeq lists it as uncharacterized. The record is from RefSeq and is a predicted model, not a curated record. NCBI's taxonomy places the organism in Eukaryota, Metazoa, Mollusca, Bivalvia, Myida, Dreissenidae. The transcript is spliced from 4 exons.
UCGGUGAAAACAUUUGACUUCACACAGACCAACUCAGAAUUAACGUUAGCCAGCGGUUGAAACGGUUUUGUGAUGUGACAACCAUGCUACUGACCUUGUUCGGCGUCUUACCUCUACUCGAAGAUUAAGCAGACAACGACGAACGACCUUAUAUAUCGACCGAAGAAAGAGACAAACUCACAAAUGGCACAAUUCAGAUAACUUUGAACGGCCGCAAAUGACGUAUCAACCAAGUAAAAAAUGAUAACCCCACAACUGACAGAUACCUGAUAAAAGAUCUGGUCAAGAUGCGUUACGCUACGCCAUGGGUAUGCCAAUGGAAUGCGAAAGAAAUAGUUCGCAUUGCACGACACUCGAAGCGAAGUACAAAGUAGGCAAAGUGGACAUCAAACCAACAGCCGAUUUGACAGCGAAACAAGCGAUCGUCCAUCGUCCAUAUUAAACACGUUGAGAGGUUUUGUAUAAAGGUCAUUUAUUGUUAAGAUUUAAAGUAUUUCAAUUACCAAUGAACUAAUGCGCAAGUUGAUAAUCUAAUGUACUAUAGUAUAUAGAUUAACGUGAAAAGAGUAUAUUCAUCACGCCAAUUGAAAAAAUAUUAUUUACACUUUUUCGUUAAAAUACAUAGAGUCAAAACAUAAGUCACCAAUGUGUACGCUAAAGUAUAAACAUUGUUUGAUAUUAUUCAACAUGUUUGACAUCUUCUUAUCUCAAGUUUUCAAGUAGCUACUUCACUUAUAGAUUGUUUCAUUUGCUUUUGUCAAUAUAUCACGAUAACGAUGAUUCCAAAAAUGUGUUGCCUAUAUUCAUGUAUAACUCAAUUUUGAAUACGUAUUUAUGAGAUGCUAUAGUUUUGAAACGUGAACGAAUGCUAACGUGUGUCAUAAGCAAAACCUGCGACGGUAGUCAUUAAGUAUUUCAUUUGUCAUAAUAUAGUUUUGCUUGAUAUCUGGUAAUGAUCUUUGAAACACUGUGCAUUUAUCUUCACUUAGUUAACACAAAUAAUAUUGACGAGAGUAUUUAUAUACUUUGAAACAGACGAAGGGAACCUGUAAGUCCAUAUAGGACAAAUUUGUAUCUCUUAACAUUUAUCUUAUUUUUUAAGCCAUCAACGGUGUUAUUUUCCUGGCAGCUUAAAACUCUACUUUGUAUAUUGUUUCAUAUUCUUCACACUUGUCAGCUAUUUGUUUGAUAUUGAUUACA